This 504-nucleotide ribosomal RNA is filed under the name uncultured bacterium. Its description in RNAcentral is "partial 16S ribosomal RNA". It matches the Rfam family "Bacterial small subunit ribosomal RNA", at positions 28 to 523 of the family's 1533-position model. The record is from RNAcentral.
GAUGAACGCUAGCGGCAGGCUUAACACAUGCAAGUCGAGGGGCAGCAUAAAUAGUAGCAAUACUAUUGGUGGCGACCGGCGGACGGGUGCGUAACGCGUAUACAACCUUCCCUAAACAGGGGGAUAAUCUGGAGAAAUUCGGUCUAAUACCACAUAACAUCAGAGCAGGCAUCUGUUUUGGUUAAAAUUUCCGGAGGUUUAGGAUGGGUAUGCGUAGCAUUAGCUAGUUGGUGAGGUAAUGGCUCACCAAGGCGACGAUGCUUAGGGGGACUGAGAGGUUAACCCCCCACACUGGUACUGAGACACGGACCAGACUCCUACGGGAGGCAGCAGUGAGGAAUAUUGGUCAAUGGGCUGAAGCCUGAACCAGCCAUGCCGCGUGCAGGAUGACGGCUCUAUGAGUUGUAAACUGCUUUUGUACGAGGGUAAAGUGGGCUACGUGUAGCCUUUUGAAAGUAUCGUACGAAUAAGGAUCGGCUAACUCCGUGCCAGCCGCCGCGGUAA